GAUGAACGCUGGCGGCGUGCUUAACACAUGCAAGUCGAACGGUGAAGGCGGAGCUUGCUCUGCUGGAUCAGUGGCGUACGGGUGAGUAACACGUGAGCAAUCUGCCCCUGACUCUGGGAUAAGCGCUGGAAACGGCGUCUAAUACUGGAUACGAGCUGCGAAGGCAUCUUCAGCAGCUGGAAAGAAUUUCGGUCAGGGAUGAGCUCGCGGCCUAUCAGCUUGUUGGUGAGGUAAUGGCUCACCAAGGGGUCGACGGGUAGCCGGCCUGAGAGGGUGACCGGCCACACUGGGACUGAGGCAGGGCCCAGAAUCCAACGGGAGGCAGCAGUGGGGAAUAUUGCACAAUGGGCGAAAGCCUGAUGCAGCAACGCCGCGUGAGGGACGACGGCCUUCGGGUUGUAAACCUCUUUUAGCAGGGAAGAAGCGAAAGUGACGGUACCUGCAGAAAAAGCGCCGGCUAACUACGUG
RNAcentral lists this ribosomal RNA (468 nucleotides) under uncultured bacterium. Its description in RNAcentral is "partial 16S ribosomal RNA". It matches the Rfam family "Bacterial small subunit ribosomal RNA", at positions 28 to 507 of the family's 1533-position model. The record is from RNAcentral.